AUUGCCCUAGUAACGGCGAGUGAAGCGGCAACAGCUCAAAUUUGAAAUCUGGCCCUUUCAGGGUCCGAGUUGUAAUUUGCAGAGGGUGCUUUGGCAUUGGUUGUGGUCUAAGUUCCUUGGAACAGGACGUCACAGAGGGUGAGAAUCCCGUACGUGGCCGCCAACCCUUGCCGUGUAAAGCCCCUUCGACGAGUCGAGUUGUUUGGGAAUGCAGCUCUAAAUGGGAGGUAAAUUUCUUCUAAAGCUAAAUACUGGCCAGAGACCGAUAGCGCACAAGUAGAGUGAUCGAAAGAUGAAAAGCACUUUGGAAAGAGAGUCAAAAAGCACGUGAAAUUGUUGAAAGGGAAGCGCUUGCAGCCAGACUUGCCCGUAGUUGUUCACCCGAGUUUCUACUCGGUGCACUCUUCUGCGGGCAGGCCAGCAUCAGUUCGGGCGGUUGGAUAAAGGCCUGCUAAACGUACCUCUCCUCGGGGAGGACUUAUAGGGUAGGCAACAUACAACCAGCCCGGAUUGAGGUCCGCGCAUCUGCUAGGAUGCUGGCGUAAUGGCUGUAAGCGGCCCGUCUUGAAACACGGACCAAGGAGUCUAACAUCUAUGCGAGUGUUUGGGUGUAAAGCCCGGGCGCGUAAUGAAAGUGAACGGAGGUGGGAACCCUUGGGUGCACCAUCGACCGAUCCUGAAGUCUUCGGAUGGAUUUGAGUAAGAGCAUAGCUGUUGGGACCCGAAAGAUGGUGAACUAUGCCUGAAUAGGGUGAAGCCAGAGGAAACUCUGGUGGAGGCUCGCAGCGGUUCUGACGUGCAAAUCGAUCGUCAAAUUUGGGCAUAGGGGCGAAAGACUAAUCGAACUAUCUAGUAGCUGGUUCCUGCCGAU
RNAcentral lists this ribosomal RNA (871 nucleotides) under Humicola fuscoatra. RNAcentral's name for it is "LSU rRNA". It matches the Rfam family "Eukaryotic large subunit ribosomal RNA", at positions 74 to 965 of the family's 3401-position model. The record is from RNAcentral. Lineage: Eukaryota; Fungi; Ascomycota; Sordariomycetes; Sordariales; Chaetomiaceae.